AGACUGUGACUUAUGCUGCCCAACACUUCUUGAAAGACCCCCGGAGAGGACCUUUCCCUCAGGAGGAGUCCCAAGCGCCCAAUGACCGAGCCGAGUCCACUCGGAUGCAAUCAGCAAGAGGGUUUAUUGGAAAACACAGGCUUUCGCCCGAUUCUCGGUACCGUGUCAGUGCAACUCAGGCUGGAGAGAUGGCUCAGUGACUUAGGGCCCUUACACCCUGGCAGACACAACACAGGUGGUUCACAACUGUCUGUAACUUCCGUUCCAGAGAAUCUAAAGCCUUCUUCUGCCCUGAGGGAUGUGUGUAGUUCACACACAUACACAUAAAAUAAAAUCUUUUUUAAAAAUAUUACAUAUCGGGCUGGAGAGAUGGCUCAGCGGUUAAGAGCACCCGACUGCUCUUCCAGAGGUCAUGAGUUCAAUUCCCAGCAACCACAUGGUGGCUCACAACCAUCUGUAAAGAGAUCUGAUGCCCUCUUCUGGUGUAUCUGAAGACAGCUACAGUGUACUUAUAUAUAAUAAAUAAAUAAAUCUUUAAAAAUAUUA
Molecule: long non-coding RNA, 546 nt
Organism: Rattus norvegicus (Norway rat)
Lineage: Eukaryota; Metazoa; Chordata; Mammalia; Rodentia; Muridae
Source: RefSeq, a predicted model, not a curated record